This 253-nucleotide ribosomal RNA is filed under the name uncultured bacterium. RNAcentral describes it as "partial 16S ribosomal RNA". It matches the Rfam family "Bacterial small subunit ribosomal RNA", at positions 524 to 776 of the family's 1533-position model. The record is from RNAcentral.
UACGUAGGGGGCAAGCGUUGUCCGGAUUUAUUGGGCGUAAAGAGCUCGUAGGUGGUUCGGUAAGUCGGAUGUGAAAUCCCUCGGCUCAACCGAGGAACUGCAUCCGAUACUGGCGGGCUUGAAUCCGGGAGAGGGAUGUGGAUUUCCAGGUGUAGCGGUGAAAUGCGUAGAUAUCUGGAGGAACACCGGUGGCGAAGGCGGCAUCCUGGACCGGUAUUGACGCUGAGGCGCGAAAGCUAGGGGAGCAAACGGG